AUGAAAUUUUCAUAUACGGCUCUUAGAGGGGGACUCGGGUUAGUUACCUAUCUCAAUAAAGUAUAUGAUUGGUUUGAGGAACGUCUUGAGAUUCAGGCAAGUGCAGAUGAUAUAACUAGUGAAUAUGUUCCUCCCCGCGUCAACAUAUUUUAUUGUGCUCCGGUGUAA
Molecule: ribosomal RNA, 168 nt
Filed under: Triticum aestivum (bread wheat)
Lineage: Eukaryota; Viridiplantae; Streptophyta; Magnoliopsida; Poales; Poaceae
Description: partial small subunit ribosomal RNA
Source: RNAcentral